RNAcentral lists this long non-coding RNA (977 nucleotides) under Notechis scutatus (mainland tiger snake). Its description in RNAcentral is "lncRNA (ENSNSUG00000018520.1)". Lineage: Eukaryota; Metazoa; Chordata; Lepidosauria; Squamata; Elapidae. The record is from RNAcentral.
GUGGAAGGAAGGGGGCCUCCCCUGAGACUGAGAUGGCGCUCGCCCGUCCGCCGGGGGGCCAGCGGCUGAGUCACCUGCGCAGCAUAGGCUCCUGGGCUCCGGUCCCCGGCGUCAGUCCGGUUAUCCACUUUUCCAAGGCCGUCACCCUCUUCGGCCGUAACACCCGGGUAGCGGACUACCACCUCAACUUGCCUGCCACAGACCUCAAUUACAUCUCCCGUAUCCACGCGCGGAUAAUCCGGACAGACGGCGAAUACAUUCUGGUGGAUUCCAGCCUGACGGGCGUGUAUGUCAACGACAUCCGCAUCGAAGGCGAAGUAAAUUUGCGCGAAGGAGAUACAGUCACUUUUGGCCAUCCUGAUGGGAAAAACGUCCUCCUGGGAAGCCACACACGGCAGCCAAAUUCUCCCUUUUAUUUCCUGUUUGAGCAUUGCGAUUGCUCUCCUGGCCGGAUGCAGAGCGCUUAUGCAGACGGGAGAAAUUUCCCCCAACCGUUGAAAGGUCCCGACUUGGUUUCUGCAGGAGUUUCACCUCCAGGCAACCCGAACUUGGCACUUGCGGGCAACGUUUCUCCUCCUCAGAUGGCACUAGCAGGGGUGCUGCCAGGCCAGGCCCCUCUGGCAAGCUCUGUCACACAGCAUGGCCCCCAGGAUGCUCUGGCCCCACCACCAAACCCAGCGCUUUCCGCCUCUUCCCCACUUACGGCUGAGAAGGCAUCCGAGAAAAGCAGCUUUCCUUCCUCACCUCGUCCUCCAUUAAGUGCUCCGUGCAGACGGGCCUCCCAGGUUCUCCGUUCCGCUUCACCAGAUUACACACUUCCCGACGAGAACUCUUUUGCGGCCACUGGGUCUCCUCCGGAAAGUCCAGAAUCCGGCGACUCCGUUUCUCGCAGCAGCAGCAGCAGUGAGAGUACCGUGGAGUGUGACACGCCUCCUCCACAAGGGUUGCCUCCACACGAGGCUGCCGGAAGUGAUCCC